This 206-nucleotide ribosomal RNA is filed under the name uncultured bacterium. RNAcentral's name for it is "partial 16S ribosomal RNA". It matches the Rfam family "Bacterial small subunit ribosomal RNA", at positions 568 to 774 of the family's 1533-position model. The record is from RNAcentral.
AGCGUAGGUGGUUUCUUAAGUCAGAGGUGAAAGGCUACGGCUCAACCGUAGUAAGCCUUUGAAACUGAGAAACUUGAGUGCAGGAGAGGAGAGUAGAAUUCCUAGUGUAGCGGUGAAAUGCGUAGAUAUUAGGAGGAAUACCAGUUGCGAAGGCGGCUCUCUGGACUGUAACUGACACUGAGGAGCGAAAGCGUGGGGAGCGAACA